GCUCAGCUGAAGAGUUCUUAACAGAACGAAACACGUGUCUUGGAU
This 45-nucleotide non-coding RNA is filed under the name Schistosoma margrebowiei. The record is from RNAcentral. Lineage: Eukaryota; Metazoa; Platyhelminthes; Trematoda; Strigeidida; Schistosomatidae.